This 840-nucleotide unclassified non-coding RNA is filed under the name Hevea brasiliensis (rubber tree). The record is from RNAcentral. Lineage: Eukaryota; Viridiplantae; Streptophyta; Magnoliopsida; Malpighiales; Euphorbiaceae.
AAAGUAUAUAGAAGUAGUCAUAAUAUAACAAACAAGAUUUUUCAUUCCUUAAUUAACAGAUGACUGAAUAAUAUUGCUUAAAAAUAAACAGUUUAAAUCUCAGUGGCAAUAAUUAUGAUUAUGAUUUACAACACUAUAGGUUAAAAAUUGUAGUACACAUUUUUCUGAAGAUGAAGAGCCUUGACCCCAAAUUUCAGAAUACCUGCUCCAUGAUUAUCAGACAAGCUGGAGAGGAGUUUGGUCACCAUUGUCGCGACGAGAGUAAUGAGGAUUUGGUUCCAGGAGAUUUACAGGCAGGAAGUUAUUGCGAGCAUCUUCGUAAUUUGGCUGAUGAUGGUAUUGAUGAUCAGAUCCUCCUCCUCCUCCGCCUCCGCCUCCUCCUCCACUAUCAACCUCUCGAGCACUCGGAGGCAAAGUUGGCUCAAGAAUCACCAAUUCUAUUGAACGAUCACGACCACAAAGAAGUUUUUCAUCUGUCAAGCCCCAAUCAAGUAGUCCCACACCAAGAUCAGGUUAUGUUGUGAGUGAGAAGAUAAAUCAUUUGGAAGAACAAAAUGGAGGAGCUAUGCUUGAUACUGAGACUAUUGAUGAAUCAAAGCCCAGGUUGAAGCCUUUACAUUGGGACAAAGUACGAGCUACUUCUGAAAGAGCCACGGUGUGGGAUCAAUUGAAAUCGAGCUCUUUCCAAUUAAAUGAAGACAUGAUGGAGUCACUCUUUGGAUGUAAUUCUGUAAAUUCAGUAACAAAUGAAGUCAUUAAGAAACCAGUCCGUCCUACGGUUGAGAAGGAGAACAGAGUUCUUGACCCGAAAAAAUCACAGAACAUUGCCAUAAUGUUGAG